UGAUAUGAAAUCGAGUUCGGUCCAGUGGA
Molecule: non-coding RNA, 29 nt
Filed under: Rattus norvegicus (Norway rat)
Lineage: Eukaryota; Metazoa; Chordata; Mammalia; Rodentia; Muridae
Source: RNAcentral